CCUACGGGAGGCAGCAGUGAGGAAUAUUGGUCAAUGGACGAGAGUCUGAACCAGCCAAGUAGCGUGAAGGAUGACUGCCCUAUGGGUUGUAAACUUCUUUUAUAUGGGAAUAAAUUGUUCCACGUGUGGGAUUUUGUAUGUACCAUAUGAAUAAGGAUCGGCUAACUACGUGCCAGCAGCCGCGGUAAUACGGAGGAUCCGAGCGUUAUCCGGAUUUAUUGGGUUUAAAGGGAGCGUAGGUGGAUUGUUAAGUCAGUUGUGAAAGUUUGCGGCUCAACCGUAAAAUUGCAGUUGAAACUGGCAGUCUUGAGUACAGUAGAGGUGGGCGGAAUUCGUGGUGUAGCGGUGAAAUGCUGAGAUAUCACGAAGAACUCCGAUUGCGAAGGCAGUUCACUGGACUGCAACUGACACUGAGGCUCGAAAGUGUGGGUAUCAAACAGGAUUAGAUACCCCUGUAGUC
This 460-nucleotide ribosomal RNA is filed under the name uncultured bacterium. RNAcentral's name for it is "partial 16S ribosomal RNA". It matches the Rfam family "Bacterial small subunit ribosomal RNA", at positions 338 to 795 of the family's 1533-position model. The record is from RNAcentral.